ACGGGGGGUGCGAGCGUUGUCCGGAAUCACGGGGCGUAAAGGGCGCGUAGGUGGUCUGAUAAGGGUGUGGUGAAAGCCCGGGGCUCAACCCCGGGUCGGCCGUGCCGACUGUUAGACUGGAGUGCUGUAGGGGCAGGCGGAAUUCCGGGUGUAGCGGUGGAAUGCGUAGAGAUCCGGAAGAACACCGGUGGCGAAGGCGGCCCGCUGGGCAGGAAGACGUCGCAAGACGUCGGCUGACGCUGAUGCGCGACAGCGUGGGGAGCGAACAGGA
This 271-nucleotide ribosomal RNA is filed under the name uncultured prokaryote. RNAcentral describes it as "partial 16S ribosomal RNA". It matches the Rfam family "Bacterial small subunit ribosomal RNA", at positions 525 to 777 of the family's 1533-position model. The record is from RNAcentral.